GAUGAACGCUGGCGGCGUGCCUAAUACAUGCAAGUAGAACGCUGAAGGAAGGAGCUUGCUCUUUCCGGAUGAGUUGCGAACGGGUGAGUAACGCGUAGGUAACCUGCCUGGUAGCGGGGGAUAACUAUUGGAAACGAUAGCUAAUACCGCAUAACAGUAGAUGUUGCAUGAUAUCUACUUAAAAGGUGCAAUUGCACCACUACCAGAUGGACCUGCGUUGUAUUAGCUAGUUGGUGAGGUAACGGCUCACCAAGGCGACGAUACAUAGCCGACCUGAGAGGGUGAUCGGCCAAAACGGGACUGAGAAACGGCCCAGACUCCUACGGGAGGCAGCAGUAGGGAAUCUUCGGCAAUGGACGGAAGUCUGACCGAGCAACGCCGCGGGAGUGAAGAAGGGUUUCGGAUCGUAAAGCUCUGUUGUAAGAGAAGAACGAGUGUGAGAGUGGAAAGUUCACACUGUGACGGUAUCUUACCAGAAAGAGACGGCUAACUACGUG
RNAcentral lists this ribosomal RNA (497 nucleotides) under uncultured bacterium. RNAcentral describes it as "partial 16S ribosomal RNA". It matches the Rfam family "Bacterial small subunit ribosomal RNA", at positions 28 to 507 of the family's 1533-position model. The record is from RNAcentral.